CGCUGGCGGCGUGCCUAAUACAUGCAAGUAGAACGCUGAAGAGAGGAGCUUGCUCUUCUUGGAUGAGUUGCGAACGGGUGAGUAACGCGUAGGUAACCUGCCUUGUAGCGGGGAUAACUAUUGGAAACGAUAGCUAAUACCGCAUAACAAUGGAUGACACAUGUCAUUUAUUUGAAAGGGGCAAUUGCUCCACUACAAGAUGGACCUGCGUUGUAUUAGCUAGUAGGUGAGGUAACGGCUCACCUAGGCGACGAUACAUAGCCGACCUGAGAGGGUGAUCGGCCACACUGGGACUGAGACACGGCCCAGACUCCUACGGGAGGGCAGCAGUAGGGAAUCUUCGGCAAUGGGGGCAACCCUGACCGAGCAACGCCGCGUGAGUGAAGAAGGUUUUCGGAUCGUAAAGCUCUGUUGUAAGUCAAGAACGAGUGUGAGAGUGGAAAGUUCACACUGUGACGGUAGCUUACCAGAAAGGGACGGCUAACUACGUG
RNAcentral lists this ribosomal RNA (491 nucleotides) under uncultured bacterium. Its description in RNAcentral is "bacterial SSU rRNA". It matches the Rfam family "Bacterial small subunit ribosomal RNA", at positions 34 to 507 of the family's 1533-position model. The record is from RNAcentral.